CCUACGGGUGGCAGCAGUGGGGAAUAUUGGACAAUGGGGGCAACCCUGAUCCAGCCAUGCCGCGUGUGUGAAGAAGGCCCUCGGGUUGUAAAGCACUUUCAGUGAGGAAGAACGCCUGGUGGUUAAUACCCAUCAGGAAAGACAUCACUCACAGAAGAAGCACCGGCUAACUCCGUGCCAGCAGCCGCGGUAAUACGGAGGGUGCGAGCGUUAAUCGGAAUUACUGGGCGUAAAGCGCGCGUAGGUGGCUUGAUAAGCCGGUUGUGAAAGCCCCGGGCUCAACCUGGGAACGGCAUCCGGAACUGUCAAGCUAGAGUGCAGGAGAGGAAGGUAGAAUUCCCGGUGUAGCGGUGAAAUGCGUAGAGAUCGGGAGGAAUACCAGUGGCGAAGGCGGCCUUCUGGACUGACACUGACACUGAGGUGCGAAAGCGUGGGUAGCAAACAGGAUUAGAUACCCUUGUAGCC
RNAcentral lists this ribosomal RNA (465 nucleotides) under Vreelandella stevensii. Its description in RNAcentral is "partial 16S ribosomal RNA". It matches the Rfam family "Bacterial small subunit ribosomal RNA", at positions 338 to 795 of the family's 1533-position model. The record is from RNAcentral. Lineage: Bacteria; Pseudomonadati; Pseudomonadota; Gammaproteobacteria; Oceanospirillales; Halomonadaceae.